UGACCUCAGGUGAUCUGCCCGCCUCAGCCUCCCAAAGUGCUAGGAUUACAAGUGUGAGCCACCACGCCCGGCCCCAAUAUUCUUUCUUACUAGACACUGUGUAAGCUAAUUAUUCAGCAAGUAUUUUGCACUGAACUCUAAAUAGGUAAGUAUUUUGUGUCCAUUUUACAGACAAGAGAAAUAAAAUAGGUAAAGUAUUUCCCCAAAGCUAUGAUAAAUGAAUCCCAUAGCUAGAAAUGGCAGAAAACCCAUGGAAACUUCUAUGGGGAGUGGAUGUCUGCCUUACCUUGGCACAAUGCUUGGUUCUCAGAUAUCAUUUCAGUGACAUUGCCAAAUGGGAGAAACCAUGUCUGGUACACGGGACUCAAGCUGCCUCAAAAUAUCCUGAAUGCAUUUUUUCAGGGGAGAAAAUCCAUUUGAAUAAGAAUAGCUAGUUAUAGCUUAUUAUGUGCCAGACACUAUUCAAAGUGUUUAAUGUGUAUUAACUUCUCAAAACCACUCUAUAAGUUAGGUACUAUGAUUUCCAUCUCCAUUUUACAGACGAGGGAACUGAGCUGUCAAAACUAAGUGACUUGAUUGAGGCCAUGCAGCUGGCGAGGGGAGGACCAGGAUCUGAACCCAACUGGGUCUCCCAAGCCUGGGCCACUGAACCAUUUCACCUCUUGGAAAAACUUAAUGGUCAGAGUGGCCCACCCAGUCCAUGGACAGCAUGGAGGAUAAACUGCUUCCCUAGAAAUCCUCUCCAGCAUUCUUGCCACCACGACUUUGGGACACAUUGACCAUGAGGAGGAGCUGGUCAAUGAUGGACAGGAGUCCAGAUUAGCAGAGAUGUGGUAAUAAGGACACCGAUGCCUAAAUACUUGAAAUAUCCAAUAGGAAGCAUUCCACCUUUGUGCAAAUGCGAACCACAUCUCACCAAGUUCAGGCCAAGGCUGCCACCGGUGACGUUUUGGAAAAGAAAAAAAAAAGCGGGGGGAGAGGAGAGAAACAGAGAAGCAAGGAAUGCAGAAGAGAGCAGAGGCCACAAAAACAGCAGCAACGUGUCCUGUGUAUUCUGUUUCCUUGUAAAACUAUGAAGCAUGUUAAGGAGAUACUUCAUUUUUUGAGGAUUCAUACUCUUGUUUAUAUUAUAAUAAAAACAACCCAUGUUCUUUCUAAAAAUUUAGGCAAUGCCUUCGUGCACAUAAAAGUAAAACAAAAUCACCUGUAAUCCUACCACACGCAGAUCAGCACUUGCUAAUCUUUUCACAGGGAUCCUAAGAAUAUCCUAUUCUCUAUAGAAUAUAGUUGAUUUAUGUUACCUAAUAACUAACUGUUAACCAUU
RNAcentral lists this long non-coding RNA (1324 nucleotides) under Homo sapiens (human). RNAcentral's name for it is "non-protein coding LINC01102:16". The record is from RNAcentral. Lineage: Eukaryota; Metazoa; Chordata; Mammalia; Primates; Hominidae.